CUCUGGAGGCAGCAGUAGGGAAUCUUCCGCAAUGGACGAAAGUGUGAGGGAGCAACGCCGCGUGAGUGAUGAAGGCUUUCGGGUCGUAAAACUCUGUUGUUAGGGAAGAACAAGUGCUAGUUGAAUAAGCUGGCACCUUGACGGUACCUAACCAGAAAGCCACGGCUAAAUACGUGCCAGCAGCCGCGGUAAUACGUAGGUGGCAAGCGUUAUCCGGAAUUAUUGGGCGUAAAGCGCGCGCAGGUGGUUUCUUAAGUUUGAUGUGAAAGCCCACGGCUCAACCGUGGAGGGUCAUUGGAAACUGGGAGACUUGAGUGCAGAAGAGGAAAGUGGAAUUCCAUGUGUAGCGGUGAAAUGCGUAGAGAUAUGGAGGAACACCAGUGGCGAAGGCGACUUUCUGGUCUGUAACUGACACUGAGGCGCGAAAGCGUGGGGAGCAAACAGGAUUAGAUACCCUGGUAGUCCACGCCGUAAACGAUGGAGUGCCUUAAGGUGUUUAAG
RNAcentral lists this ribosomal RNA (501 nucleotides) under Bacillus cereus. RNAcentral describes it as "bacterial SSU rRNA". It matches the Rfam family "Bacterial small subunit ribosomal RNA", at positions 339 to 840 of the family's 1533-position model. The record is from RNAcentral. Lineage: Bacteria; Bacillati; Bacillota; Bacilli; Caryophanales; Bacillaceae.